This 765-nucleotide ribosomal RNA is filed under the name Staphylococcus nepalensis. RNAcentral's name for it is "bacterial SSU rRNA". It matches the Rfam family "Bacterial small subunit ribosomal RNA", at positions 95 to 846 of the family's 1533-position model. Lineage: Bacteria; Bacillati; Bacillota; Bacilli; Caryophanales; Staphylococcaceae. The record is from RNAcentral.
GCGGCGGACGGGUGAGUAACACGUGGGUAACCUACCUAUAAGACUGGAAUAACUCCGGGAAACCGGGGCUAAUGCCGGAUAAUAUUUAGAACCGCAUGGUUCUAAAGUGAAAGAUGGUUUUGCUAUCACUUAUAGAUGGACCCGCGCCGUAUUAGCUAGUUGGUGGGGUAAUGGCUUACCAAGGCAACGAUACGUAGCCGACCUGAGAGGGUGAUCGGCCACACUGGAACUGAGACACGGUCCAGACUCCUACGGGAGGCAGCAGUAGGGAAUCUUCCGCAAUGGGCGAAAGCCUGACGGAGCAACGCCGCGUGAGUGAUGAAGGUCUUCGGAUCGUAAAACUCUGUUAUUAGGGAAGAACAAAUGUGUAAGUAACUGUGCACGUCUUGACGGUACCUAAUCAGAAAGCCACGGCUAACUACGUGCCAGCAGCCGCGGUAAUACGUAGGUGGCAAGCGUUAUCCGGAAUUAUUGGGCGUAAAGCGCGCGUAGGCGGUUUCUUAAGUCUGAUGUGAAAGCCCACGGCUCAACCGUGGAGGGUCAUUGGAAACUGGGAAACUUGAGUGCAGAAGAGGAAAGUGGAAUUCCAUGUGUAGCGGUGAAAUGCGCAGAGAUAUGGAGGAACACCAGUGGCGAAGGCGACUUUCUGGUCUGUAACUGACGCUGAUGUGCGAAAGCGUGGGGAUCAAACAGGAUUAGAUACCCUGGUAGUCCACGCCGUAAACGAUGAGUGCUAAGUGUUAGGGGGUUUCCGCCCCUUAGUGC